AAGCACUUCUUCGCUGUCGAAGGACCUGCAUAAGAGCCCAGUGGCCGUUUUAACAGAAGACCAGAAUACAAUACGAGUGCUGGCUAAAGGGUUAAAGAAGCUGAGCUAUUCUCUAAUGAAUGUCCUGUGGAGCUGCUGAGAAGAAUCACAUGGGGAACCUCCAGGAAGCUAGCCCUUGGUACCAUUUGCUCUCAGAUGCAUGCUGAUACGGUGACCUCUCCAAGAAGUGCAGGGCUGGCCUCCUGCCUGCCUGGUGACCAGGGCUGAAUGUUGUCUUCCGCUGAAGUUAGCAGGAAUGUUAAUACCAGUUUGCCUUACACAAAUCCACGGUGAAACUUUCAGGAAAGCAACAGCUGGCAAUAGCUUGGUAAUUACACAGCAGCCAGCCAUUUUUUUUUAGCCCAUGUAAAAUGUGCUGUGAGCUUUUCAAGUAAAAUUGUACCUCCCUUCAAACCAA
Molecule: long non-coding RNA, 457 nt
Organism: Polypterus senegalus (gray bichir)
Lineage: Eukaryota; Metazoa; Chordata; Cladistia; Polypteriformes; Polypteridae
Exons: 2
Source: RefSeq, a predicted model, not a curated record